Molecule: long non-coding RNA, 207 nt
Filed under: Elaeis guineensis (African oil palm)
Lineage: Eukaryota; Viridiplantae; Streptophyta; Magnoliopsida; Arecales; Arecaceae
Description: long non-coding RNA (EGUI_LNC082439)
Source: RNAcentral
CUGGGAUGUCUGAUGGAGUGGAAUGGCUCUCUGUCUCGUCGAUCUAGGAGAAGCUCGGAUAUUUCUGUGGUCGCUGACGAGUCUACUGUUGUCGGAGGCCUUGGGUGCUGAGGCUACAGGUGAGAACCGUCUGCUGUAGAGGCUUGGAUGAAGACUUUUUGUUGGUGAAGUUCGGUAGGAGUCCAAUUGCUAGGGAAGUCCAUCUAG